GCGGGCAGCUGGGGCCUUUGCCUGUGCCUCUGCCUGCCCAGUGACCGGGACUGUCCUCUCCCCACUGUCUCUGCUGCCUUCCCUCUGCCGGGCCCCUCCUGCCCCACGCGUUCCCGGCCUUCACGCCAGGGUGUGCCGUAUGCGGCUGCUCCUCCCUCAGGGCUGUUCUCCCCAGGUUCCUUCCAUCGGGCCUCCUUUGGAGACGGCGCAGUCUCCUGUGGCUGUGGUGGGUAGGACUGCACAUGUGCACAGCAUGCUGAGAGACCAGGCCGGCCCUGUCCGGUACCGGCUUUCUCGGCCAUCCCGCCUCUCAAACCUCUCCCACACCUGCACCCUCCCAUCCAGCUGUGACCUCAGAUUAGACUUGGUGACCUGCUGAAUUUAAGCAUAUUAGUCAGUGGAGGAAAAGAAACUAACCAGGAUUCCCUCAGUAACGGUGAGUGAACAGGGAAGAGCCCAGCGCCGAAUCCCCAUCCUGCAGUAGUGUGUAGGAAAUGUGGUGGUGUACAGAAGACCCACUCCCCAGUGCCGCUCUCGGGGGCCCCAAGUCCUUCUGAUCAAGGCACAGCCCGUGGAUGGUGUGAGGGCAGUAGUGGCCCCUGGUGCGCUGGGAGUGGGUCUUCUCAGAGUUGGGUUGCUUGGCAAUGAAGCCCAAAGCAGGUGGUAAACUCAUCUAAGGCUAAAUACUAGCACAAGGCCAAUAGUCAGCAAGUACUGUAAGAGAAAGUUUAAAAGAACUUUGAGGAUAGAGUUCAAGAGGGUGUGAAACCGUUAAGAGUUAAACGGGUGGGGUCUGUGCAGUCUGCCCGAAGGAUUCAACCCAGUGGGUUUGGUCAGCUGGCCUGGGAUGACAGAUCCCGCUCAGCCCCUCCCCCAGGGCAGGUGAGGACCGCCGCCUGGAUGGCCUCGGUCCUUGUUGGGCGCAUCUCCACCGUGGCAGUGCACCAUGACUGGCUCUGGGUUGACUGGGAAGGCCUGGCAGGCAGGUGGCUCACCGCUUUGUGGCGGCAAGUGUUACAGUCCCCAGGCAGCAGCUCUUGCUGCAUCCCAGGGUCGAGGGAGAUGACCGUCGCCACGCCUUCCCCCAUGGCUCCCCGUCCCCUCCUCCUCAUGGUGGGGGCCCCCUCGCCCCUGGUGCAACUGUCAAUCAGGGCGGACUGUUCUCAGUAUGCUCCGACCGUGUCGUGCUGCUGGGCAGGGAGGGCCAUGCUGGGCACCUGGGGUCUGCAGCGAUGUUGGCUGCCCACCCAACCCNGUCUUGAAACACGGACCAAGGAGUCUAACAUGUGUGCAAGUCAGAGGCUCGAACGAAAGCCCAUGACGCAAUGAAGGUGAGGGUCGGUGAGCACCAGCUGAGGUGGGAUCCCGAGGCCACUGUUUGCAGAGGGCGCACCACUGACCUGUCUCGCCCACCCCGUCAGGGAGGCGGAGCGUGAGCAUACGUGCUAGGACCUGAAAGAUGGUGAACUAUGCCUAGGAAGGGCAAAGCCAAAGGAAACUCUGGUGGAGGUCCAUAGCAGUACUGACAUGCAAAUCGGUCAUCUGACCUGGGUAUAGGGGCGAAAGACUAAUUGAAUCAUCUAGUAGCUGGUUCCCUCAGGAUAGCUGGCACUCACCCAUCUCCGCAGUUUUAUUUGUUAAAGUGAAUGAUUAGAGGUCUUGGGGCCAAAACAAUCUCAACCCAUUCUCAAACUUUAAAUGGGUAAGAAGCCUGGCUCACUGGUGUGGAGCCUGGUGUGGAAUGCGAGUGCCUAGUGGGCCACUUGUGGUAAGCGGAGCUGGUGCUGCGGAAUGAACUGAAUGCGAGGUUAAGGUGCUCAAUGCUGACGCUCAUCAGACCCCAGAAAAGGUGUUGGUUGAUAUAGACCUCAGGACGGUGGCCAUGGAAGUUGGAAUCUGCUAAAGAGUGUGUAACAACUCACCUGCCAAAUCAACUAGCCCUGCAAAUGGAUGGUGCUAGAGUGUUGGGCCCAUACCUGGCUUUUGCCGGAAAUGAGAGCCAUGGGGGCUAGGCUGUGAUGAGUAGGAGGGCCUCUGUGCUGGGCCUUGAAGCCUAGGGCACGGGCCUGGGUGGAACCACUGCAGGUACAGAUCUUGGUGGUAGUAGCAAAUAUUCAAAUGAGAACUUUGAAGGCCGAAAUGGAGAAGGGUUCCAUGUGAACAGCAGUUGAACAUGGGUUAGUCAGUCCUAAGAGAUAGGUGAGCGCCAUUCCGAAGGGACGGGCAAUGGCCUCCGUUGCCCUCAGCCGAUUGCAAGGGAGUCGUGUUCAGAUCCCUGAAUCCAGAGUGGUGGUGCCAUGAGGCGUCCAGUGCAGUAAUGCAACUGAUCCUGGAGAAGCCGGCGGGAGCCCCCAGGGAGAGUUCUCCUUUCUUUGUGAAGGGCAGGGGGCCCUGAAUCGGGUUUGCCCCAAGGGACGGUGAAAAGCAUCGCGGUUCCAGCAGCGUGUGGUGAGUUCUCACGGGUCCUUGAAAAUCGGGGGGAGAAGGUGUAAAUCUCAGGCUGGGCCGUACCCAUAUCCACAGCAGGUCUCCAAGGUGAACAGCCUCUGGCGUGUUAGAACAGUGUAGGUAAGGGAAGUCAGCAAGCCGGAUCUGUAACUUUGGGAUAAAGAUUGGCUCUAAGGGCUGGGUUGGUUGGGAUGGGGCACAAAGUAGAGCUGGGCAUGAGCUGUGGCUGGAUGAGGCACCUACUCCCCUUCCCAGGGGGGUGGUGGCAACUCUGGAUGCAAUCCGGGCCCUUCCUGUGGAUUGCCUCAGCUGCAGCGGGCUUCACCUGCCUCUCCUCUUCCACGGGGGUGGGGUGGGGGGACGGCAUUCCACCUCAGCCGGCACCUAGCCGCUGACUUAGAACCAGCGCAGACCAGGGGAAUCUGACUGUUUAAUUCAAACAAAGCAUCGCAAAGGCCUGCGGUGGGUGUUGACGCAAUGUGAUUUCUGCCCAGUGCUCUGAAUGUCAAAGUGAAGAAAUUCAAUGAAGCAUGGGUAAACAGUGGGAGUAACUAUGACUCUCGUAAUAUGACUCUAUUAAGGGAGGCGCCUUCCCUAGGGGGAAAUGGUCUGGUUACCCAGUUGCAGCAGGUUUGUGCCAGGUACCUCCACGUGGUUCUCACUGGGUAUCAAAGGCCUGUUGAUAGCUCAACCUUGGUACAAUGCAGCCAAGGAGUUUUUCCCAGGGACACUUCACUCCCCACCAGCUGCCUCACAAGCUCCUGGGGGUAACUGCCUCAAUUGUGAAAAACUCAAAGCCUGAUGGUGGGUGCUAGAGGAAUCUUGCUGAAACUUGUUGGUGCCUGCAGUUGUCUGGCAGGUGGGGUGGGUGAAACAUACUGGAACUGACAACCAGGCAAGGGGGAUAGCCCCUCUUCUAGGGGUGGUGGCCUGGAGGGCAGAAGACUUCUGUCCCCAUGCCUUGUGCUGAUAGAGGGGAGUCUCAGUGACCGGUGCAAGUGGAACUUGAAGGUUAGUCAGUUGGGUGCAACAUCCCGGCUGCAUGCCCAGAAAGGUGGGGGGUGAGGAUCAGGACUACUCACCUCCAGUUCUGCUGAGCAUAAAGCUAACCAGAACUGAUGAUCAGGCAAGGCGGGCUCACCCCACUUCCUGGAAUGGCAGCCUGGAAUAAUGGAUGGUUUCUGGCCCCCCCAUCUUGUGCUCACAGAGGGGAGCCUCAGUGACCGGUACAAGCUAAACUUGAUGGUUAGUCAGUCAGAUGCAACAUCCUGGCUGCAUGCCCACUGAAGCCUGUGACUACCCAUUCCUGAAGGCAUGAGGCAUGUGUACUGUUCCAGGAGGGAUGACAUCCUGUGAUUGGGACAGAACAGACUGAAGGGAAGCACUUGACAAGAGUGUUUCUGGCUACUUCCAGACUUGGAGUGGUGCUGUCCCAUUUGACAUACCCUAUUGCUCCCUUUGGGCAGCAGAAUUCAUCCCAACCUCUUACCCACCCAAGUCUGUGCUUUGUUCUGCUAUCCUGCAUUUCUGAUCCGCCUUGCUGUCUCCCCCUCUUCGCUGCAUUUCUCUCAAGUGGUUCAGUCUCGAUAUGAUUACCUCCCAUGCUUCUGAUCAGGGCUCAGGCCCACAGGACAGAUUGCUGGUGCAUGUCAGUCAUCACGAGACUACCAGACUCUUCGGUGGUUGCUAUAGUCAUGACUGCGUUGCAUGGGGCAUGCUGAGCCACUUAACCGAACAACACUAAAUAACCCAAAAAAGGUACUCUUCAGGGUUCGGUAAAGAGCCAAAUGCCUUGUCAUCUAAUUAGUGUUGCACAUGAUAACUGUCUUGUGGUGGCCAAGCGUUCAUAGCGAUGUCACUUUCUAUCCUUCGAUGUCAGCUCUUCCUAUCAUUGUGAAGCAGAAUUCACCAAGCAUUGGAUUGUUCCCCCACUAAUAGGGAACGUGAGCUGGGUUUAGACC
This 4409-nucleotide ribosomal RNA is filed under the name Crocodylus porosus (Australian saltwater crocodile). Its description in RNAcentral is "eukaryotic LSU rRNA". It matches the Rfam family "Eukaryotic large subunit ribosomal RNA", at positions 1 to 2969 of the family's 3401-position model. Lineage: Eukaryota; Metazoa; Chordata; Crocodylia; Crocodylidae. The record is from RNAcentral.